Molecule: ribosomal RNA, 319 nt
Filed under: uncultured eukaryote
Lineage: Eukaryota
Description: partial 18S ribosomal RNA
Rfam family: Eukaryotic small subunit ribosomal RNA
Source: RNAcentral
CCCUUAGAUAUUCUGGGCAGCACGCGCGCUACAAUGGUCUUCGCAAACGGAUGCAUUCUCGAAGGAGAAUGCCAAUCUUGGAAUCUAUGCCUUGGUCGGGACAGUUGCUUGCAAUUUUUCGACUCGAACCAGGAAUUCCUUGUAAUCGUGAUUCAUCACAUCACGAUGAAUACGUCCCUGCCCUUUGUACACACCGCCCGUCGCUCCUACCGAUCGAAGAGUUAGGUGAAUUGUUUUGAUCGAUAAGAUUUGACUAUGGUCAACUCUCGUUGUGAAAUUCUGUGAAUCUGACUGUUUAGAGGAAGGAAAAGUCGUAACA